GCAAGUCGAACGAGAACGCUCCUUCGGGAGUUAUUAAAGUGGCGCACGGGUGAGUAACGCGUAAGUAAUCUACCCUCGCAUCUGGGAUAACCCACCGAAAGGUGUGCUAAUACCGGAUACGUCUAAGUUAAUAUCUUUUUUUUAGAGAAAGGUGGCCUCUGAUUCAAGCUACUGUGCGGGGAGGAGCUUGCGUACCAUUAGCUAGUUGGUAGGGUAACGGCCUACCAAGGCGACGAUGGUUAGCGGGUCUGAGAGGAUGAUC
Molecule: ribosomal RNA, 262 nt
Filed under: uncultured bacterium
Lineage: Bacteria
Description: partial 16S ribosomal RNA
Rfam family: Bacterial small subunit ribosomal RNA
Source: RNAcentral